Molecule: unclassified non-coding RNA, 257 nt
Filed under: Hevea brasiliensis (rubber tree)
Lineage: Eukaryota; Viridiplantae; Streptophyta; Magnoliopsida; Malpighiales; Euphorbiaceae
Source: RNAcentral
AAAAAAAAAAGUAAUUAUGUGGCCACAACAAACAAAUAGUUGUAACAGGAUGGAUGUAAUUCAGCAUUGAUAAACUCAGUUCUAAUCAAGAACAGUGUAAAAAAAAUCCGCUUUACCAAGAACAACAUAUGUUACCUUGUUAAGCUAAUAGGUAACAAUCUUGAACUCCCCACCGACCCCACUAUGGACCAAGCACAUUUCACUGCAAACAUUAGAAUCAAUAAGUUGAGUUAGAAUCAAUAAGUUGAAUGAUGCUC